Molecule: long non-coding RNA, 1427 nt
Filed under: Marmota monax (woodchuck)
Lineage: Eukaryota; Metazoa; Chordata; Mammalia; Rodentia; Sciuridae
Source: RNAcentral
GUCAUUCUAUUUUUACUUUUUUUUUUUUGCAGAACCUGAUGACUGCACCAAUCUACAUUUCUACCAAUGGUGAACUAAAGGACUUUCUCUCAUGGUGGUCUGAAUAGGGUGAAGAGAUGAGGACAGACAGACAUAUUUGGGAGAAAUUUAUGAAAUAAAAUCUAUAGGACUUUAUGAUGAAUCGGAAAUGAAGGUAUGAGAGAGAGGGAAGUUUAGAGACUUCCAAGUUUGAUCUUGAAUUACAUAUUCAAAAAUGGAUGGAUGUGUUACACAUUGAACUUGGGAACCCCUGAAAAUAACAGGGAGUCCUGGGAAGACCAUGGCCAUUGAAUCUGGACUGACUGUAUUUUAGAUGUUUAAGCGAUAAUAUUAAAGAAAUGAGUUGCCAGGUGCAGUGGUGCACACCUGUAAUCCCAGUGGCUUGGGAGGCUGAGGCAGGAAGAUCACGAGUUCAAAACCAUCCUCGGCAAUUUAAUGAGACCCUGUCAAAAAAAAAAAAAAAAAAGGACUGGGAACGUGGCUCAAUGGUCAAAUGCCACUGGGUUUAAUCCCCAGUACCAGUAAAUAAAUAAAAUAAAAAGUCUGCAGAUAUGUGGUGUUGGACCAGUAUUAGUGAAAAAGUGUAUGCAUCUGAAGGCAAUUGAAACAGUGGCUGCAGAGGCAGAAAAUGGCAAUCUAGGGACUGAAAUCUUCUUUAGUGAAGGAUGAUUAGUGAUUAAGUUUGUAGAGGACUGGGUUUCUGGUCUGCCAGCCUAACCACAAAUUUCCCUCUCACCAGCCUCCAUGAUUGCAUGAGCCAUUCAGCCAUUGCUUAAAGUAAAUGUGUGUGUGUGUGUGUGUGCUCCUCAUUGACACUUUCAGCUCUUUACUCAUUCAUCCUUUCCCAAGCCACAAAAAGCCCUCUGUUGCCUUCUCAGUCAUUCUGACCCUCACUGGAGAAGCUUCUUUGAGGGGAGUGUGUAGCCUAGCUGAGGACUAGGCUUGGAGGAAUGCAGGGUUUAGUCCUUGGUGUCUUUUUGUGUUUACCUUUUGGCUGAUUGGACGAGGCCCACUCACGCUAUUGAGGGUCAUCUCUUUAUAGAAAAUCAAAUGCUUAUAGAUGUUUAUUCCAUCUACAAGAUAACUAACUACACAGAAGCAGUUAGCUCAGGGUUUCAGCCACUGGGUACAAUAGCCCAGCCAAGUUGACAAAUAAAACUAACAACAGACGGUGGGGACAAUUGGGAAGGUGGAGUCCUGGAACCUGGGAUUUCAGUGAAGACCAGAGAGAAAAAGGAACACCUUGAUAAAUGUGAAGAUCCAGGGGAAAGUGCUGGGGAGUGAUAUUAGCCAAAUUAUAUUGUUAUAUUUUGUGCAUAUAUGAAUAUAUUAACAAAUCCCACCAUUAUGUACAACUCUAAUGCACUAAUAAAAUUUUUGGAAAAAAA